UUGAGCUUCCAUUAAAGAAAGAAAAAAAAAUGGGGCUUGGCGUAGCUAAAGCUCUUGUUCUGCUGCAGGUUUCACUAUUAUGCUUCACUGCUUUUAGCGAUGAAGAGGUAGAAGCUGUGUCGCCUAUCCCAGCUUUGCCACCGAAUCACCACCAUCACCAUCACCACAACCAUGUUCACCCACCGAGUCAUGCCCCUGUUGUCUCUCCCAUGCAUGCUCCAGCUCAUGCACCCGUUCACCCACCAAAGCCGCACCCACACCCACACCCAUCGGUUCAGCCUCCCAUGCACUCUCCAAAACCACACCUACCGGUUAAACCACCAGUUCACCCUCCCGUACACUCUGCACCACCAAAGCCAUUACCACAUCCACACCCACACCCACCAGUUAAACCACCAGCUGAGGCACCGAUCUACCACUUCGAAAGAAGCUUUGUUUCCGUGCAAGGGGUUGUUUAUUGCAAGUCAUGCAAAUAUUCUGGAGUUGAAACUCUCUUGGGAGCUUCACCACUUUCUGGUAAGUCAGUUCUUGACAUUAUUUAUUGAAGUCUUGACUACACAUUGCUCUUAUUUUCCUUUUCUUUUAUGAUUCUGUAUAUGUGAAACUGUUUAAUUUCUUGGAUGUGCAUUUUCAUGGAAAAUGUUCGUUUUUCUUAAAAUUUUAUUUUGAAAGACUUCAUCUUCAUGCAUUGGUUGGUUAAAGAUUGAAAUUUGAGCAAGAAAGAAAGUUGUUUCCUUUUUUCUAGGUGCAUGUAAGACCAAUAGCUUGCUCUCUCUUUUAGGUACAUGAGCUGUUGUCGUAAAUGGAACCCUAUGUUUCACUCCGUGACCAUUUUCAAACUGUAAAAGCAAAAGCAUUGAGAAUCACGUUUGUGCUUUUGACCAGUAAUUACUGACUGACUAUGCUUUAUUUGCAUGUCAAUUUUUGAAAUAUUAUGACAGGUGCAACAGUAAAACUGCAGUGCAAUAAUACAAAAUACCCACUAGAAGCCAAGGCUACAACGGACAAAAAUGGUUACUUCUUCCUUGAAGCACCAAAGAGUAUCACCAACUUCGGGGCCCACAAAUGCAAGGUGUCAUUAGUCUCUGCACCAAACACCGCUUGCAGCAAGCCAACCGACCUCCACGGCGGAGUUAGUGGUGGCUUGUUGAGGCCGGAGAAGAAAUAUAUUUCAAAUAAGCUUCCGUUUGUUCUGUUUACAGUUGGACCAUUUGCCUUUGAA
Molecule: long non-coding RNA, 1222 nt
Filed under: Jatropha curcas
Lineage: Eukaryota; Viridiplantae; Streptophyta; Magnoliopsida; Malpighiales; Euphorbiaceae
Description: long non-coding RNA (JCUR_LNC003341)
Source: RNAcentral